CCUACGGGCGGCAGCAGUAGGGAAUAUUGCUCAAUGGGGGAAACCCUGAAGCAGCCAUGCCGCGUGAAGGUCAGUGCCCUAUGGGCGUUAAACUUCUUUUGUGCGGGAGCAAUAAUGGUCACGUGUGGCCAGACGAGAGUACCGUACGAAUAAGCAUCGGCUAACUCCGUGCCAGCAGCCGCGGUAAUACGGGGGAUGCAAGCGUUAUCCGGAUUUAUUGGGUUUAAAGGGUGCGUAGGCUGUGAGGUAAGUCAGCGGUGAAAUGCCCCCGCUCAACGGGGUGAAGUGCCAUUGAUACUGCCGUGCUGGAAUGCGGAUGCCGUGGGAGGAAUGUGUGGUGUAGCGGUGAAAUGCAUAGAUAUCACACAGAACACCGAUUGCGAAGGCAUCUCACGAAUCCGCGAUUGACGCUGAUGCACGAAAGCGUGGGUAUCAAACAGGAUUAGAUACCCGGGUAGUC
This 460-nucleotide ribosomal RNA is filed under the name uncultured bacterium. Its description in RNAcentral is "partial 16S ribosomal RNA". It matches the Rfam family "Bacterial small subunit ribosomal RNA", at positions 338 to 795 of the family's 1533-position model. The record is from RNAcentral.